UGUCCAAGGUCACUAACUCGCAGACGGGUUGACUGGCGAUGCCCAUUUUUUGAAUACAUACUUUCGUCCAUACUCAGCGCAGCGCGCAGCUCCCGAGGCUGCUACGUGAGCCUUCAGUUCUGUAUUACUACUUAGUUUUAGUUUAAAAUGUAAGUAAACACGCAUUUCAUUCUCGCCAUUGGCUUUCCAGUUCAUUCAGAGGCUUUUUCCAGCUGCUAUCAAGUACUUACUAACCCUCUCCACAAUACUUUGUUGAGCUAGGAGCUUUUAUGGAGAGAUUACCUGUGUACGUGUGUGUGUUUAUAUUGAGUAGGCGGUGUUUACACCUUCUUAGCCUCGUAAAAUUAGAUUGAAGUGUCCUUUAAGCUCGUUAUUUGUCAUCUGCUGUUAAUCUAUUGAGUUUUAUCAGUUUUAAACAGUUUGAUUUUGUUAAAAAUUCAGUGGAAUGUGAUUACCAGUGAAGUCAAUGAUCGUUUGCACUCAACCACUUGUUGAUCUGUUUUAGAAGAACUGUUAGAAUUUCAAGUUAGUGAGGAAGGAAUGCAGCACUCCUGGUCAUGAUUCUGAUUUUGAAUUUCUUGUCAAAGUAGUGGCUGUUUCAAACCAUCUGAAAGAUAUCUAAAUUUGGAUCGACCACAUCAUGAAGCUGGAGUGCGUGGCGCUGGAGGAGGGCGCGGGGGGUGCGGGGGAGUUGGUCCGCGCGUGCGCCCGCUGCCGCGCCGAGCUCGGGCGCAUCAUCAACCGCGGCGCCCUCUGCAAGAUGUGCAAGCUCCGCGUCUGCAAGUCCUGCCGCGAGUACUUCACCGCUGCCACCACUGCGCCCACCGAGUGGCUCUGCACGGCCUGCUACAAGAACAAUGAAUUUCAAAUUGCUGAUUCUGACUGGAUUUCUGAUUAUGUUCGAUGCUCAGCUCCAAGACUUCUUGCAGGGAGCAGAAUAAGUAACAUUCAUAGUAUAAAAAAUUGUGUGCAGCGAUCCUUCACAUUUUCAGAUACAAAACCAUCUCGAUGGGCAGCCUUACGUGGAUCCCCGGAGUUGCGCGCGUACAGCAGCAUGCCUCGCCAUCAGGAUGGUGACUAUGCCCCAUCAGUUUUUAGACGAAGAAACAAAUGCAGCGUGAUCAAAGCAGAAAACGAACAAAUCAAACCCGAGCCGACUGUAGAACAAUGCCCUGUAAAUAUGAAAGAUGAAAAUUCUGUAUUAAAAACAGAUACUCCUUCAACUGCUGAUGACUCUGUGGAAACAAAUGAUGAGAACAGUCCAGUUAACUUCAUCAAAAUCGUGGACUCGUGUGGAUUGGUCCUGGAUAUCCCAGCAGUGGCAACCUCUGACGAGCUCAUCGUGGAUGACUCUGAACCGAGUGUCGCCCAGACCAAUAAUGAGAUCCCACAGCCUUCUGCCAGUACAAAGAUGACUAAGGUCUACCGUAAAAAGUCAACUGGCUCCCUCAAGUCCUCUUUUCUUGAUUCGCUCUCGAAUCGAGUUCAAGAAGUGACGAGAAGAAGGAAAGCAACAGAUUUUCGCAAUCUCCCUCCAGGUGUGACGCCUCCGCGUAGUCGGCGCUUCAAACACCCGGAGGAAGGUGACGCAACACUAGAUCCGGUGGCCCAGGUGUUAUUCCCGGACUCGGACGACUACCGCCUCGUCUUCAUAAGCUCCUCGGACUCCUCGUCGCGCGAGGAGCUGCCCUACGGGUCCGCCUCCGAAGACGAGAAAUCCUCCACCUCCUCCCUGGUCCACCCUUCUCUGGAGGACGGCGACUGGGACUAUUUCGAGGACCCGCCGCCGGGGAGCGCCAUCGGUUCCUUCUCGGCUGCCGCGCCAGAUCGCGCCAGCACCGUCGCGGAGCGCGCCGCGUUUCCCGCCACCGCGCCGGAGUUCAGUUUCGUUUCGAGUCUCCUCUCUUGCGCGUCGCCCGUGCAGCCGCUCGUAGUGCCCGUUCCGAUCCCGAUCCCCAUCCUAGUGCCAGUGCCGUGGAACCCCGAGUUGACCAUCCGCGUCGAGCACGGUGUGUCGCCCGCGCUUCGCACCCUCUUCCAGCAGAACUGGAGCGAGUACGUCCGCGGGUUCGGUGCGGUGACGGGGUCGCCAGCGCCCUCUAGCGGGGGCCCCGCGCAAAGUGCAGUGCAGUGCGAUGAAGGGGUGAGCGGCGGAGAUGCGCCCCCCGUGAGUGACGAGAUGGAUUUGCCGGAUGUGUGCCCCGAACACGACGCGUCGAGGAAGAAGUUCGCCACCCUCCCGCUCAGCGAGCUCCGCUCCGUCGGGGAGAUCCUCUCCAAGAAGCCGGUCGCGGAGGAUCAGACGGACGAUGCCGGGGAGAUAGUCCUCAAGAAAUACCAGGUCAUCGAGGAUGCUGCCGAUCUCAGCCCUGACCCGGUCAGCUUGAACAAUAUUAUCAACAAGCAGCUCACCUCUGAGCUUUCAGUCUCUGACUCGGAUGCUUCUGACAACGAAGAGAAUUCGGUUCAACGAAUAUAUACCCUCCACAAGUCGGCGGAUUCUGAAGAUUCAGAGUCUUCGGCAGAGGAGGACAUCGAAGAAGAGAAGACACAUGAUUUAGUCUCCCUGAGUAAUUUAGAUGCUAGUCCUGGUGUUGAAACUUUAAUGUCAGAUGUUUCGAAUGUCACUGAAAUAAGUCAGGACUCUUUGAAUCCACCAGAACAAACCCAGAUGCCACCUAGUCCAAUAAACAACAAAGUAAAAAGUAGAUCGAAAAUAUCCCCAAAAAUAUCUGCACGGCUGGAUAAAUUUAACCAAGUGGAUCAGUCAGCUGCUGAUAAUAAUGGGAAAAUGACAGUAGCGAAAAAAAUUGAGAAGAGCUUUGUGGCUGGAAUGACAGAAAAGUUGUCAAAAAGUGAUGAAUCAGAGUCAAAAUCUGAAUUGGUUUCUAGAAAUACUUCAAGUAAAAUUUGUGCUACAUCAUCCUCGUCAUCAGACGAGUUUUCUGGCACAGAAUCGAUGGAGUUGAUACCCACUGCAGAGGAUCUGAAAAUGGAAAGGGACUCGGAGGCAGAUAUGAGGAGACUCUCGCCAGUUUUAGAUGCUAAAACUGAACCGUCCUCGGACGAAAGUAUCUGUGAUAAAGAGCCGAAAUGCUCAACCCCAAUCAAAGACCAAAAAAGGGCUGAUCCUGAUGCCUGUAAUAUAUCAGAUGAAAAUAUCGGUGACAGUCCAAGUGGUCGGUUCACAAGUCUUAUCAUGAUAACAAGUGAUCAGGCUGAAAUAGAACCUGAGUUAGAAGACAAGAGUAAUGUUAAUAUUGUAACAAAUAGUAGCACUCAAUUAGUGCAAGAUAAAGUUGAAAAGAAAGAAGAGUUCAAACUCACUCUUAACACAGAACAAGAUGUAGAAAAAACACAGCAUGUGUCACGAUCCAAUUCUGAAAGUGACGCGAAUACUGAUGAAGUUAAAGUAGUGACUGGUGGUGACACGCUGUCAGCUGUGAUUUGUCUAGAAGAAGGGUUAGCGGAUGAUGAUUCGUGGGUAGAGGAAAUCGAUCAUAGUGACACUAACCGAGGUGAUUAUGAUGAAGAUGAUAAUUUUGAUGAUGAUAAUGAUAAUUUUGAUGAUGAUUACGAUCAUUAUGAUGAUGAUGAUGAUGAUGAUGACGACAAGAAUGUUGGUCUGAUGAAAAACAUCUCAGACUUCCAAGGUCACACGGAGGAAGAACUACGAGGCUACCAUCGCUCAGCUAUCGACUUCACCCUUCAUACAAUUCUAGAAGAGAGCUGUGAAGAAGCCAGUGAAGUAGAAGAGUCCAUGAGCAAUACAAAAAAUAAUUUAGAGAAUUACUUCUUUGGUUUUAUUGGAUCUGACGCUCAGUUAGAAAACAGCUCAGGCUCUCUAAAAAGCUUGAUAUUGGAUCCAUUGAUGUAG
RNAcentral lists this long non-coding RNA (3877 nucleotides) under Bemisia tabaci. RNAcentral describes it as "lncRNA ENSSSA1NGG013937". The record is from RNAcentral. Lineage: Eukaryota; Metazoa; Arthropoda; Insecta; Hemiptera; Aleyrodidae.